RNAcentral lists this ribosomal RNA (497 nucleotides) under uncultured bacterium. RNAcentral's name for it is "partial 16S ribosomal RNA". It matches the Rfam family "Bacterial small subunit ribosomal RNA", at positions 28 to 507 of the family's 1533-position model. The record is from RNAcentral.
GAUGAACGCUGGCGGCGUGCCUAAUACAUGCAAGUCGAGCGAACAGACGAGGAGCUUGCUCCUCUGACGUUAGCGGCGGACGUGUGAGUAACACGUGGAUAACCUACCUAUAAGACUGGGAUAACUUCGGGAAACCGGAGCUAAUACCGGAUAAUAUAUUGAACCGCAUGGUUCAAUAGUGAAAGACGGUUUUGCUGUCACUUAUAGAUGGAUCCGCGCCGCAUUAGCUAGUUGGUAAGGUAACGGCUUACCAAGGCAACGAUGCGUAGCCGACCUGAGAGGGUGAUCGGCCACACUGGAACUGAGACACGGUCCAGACUACUACGGGAGGCAGCAGUAGGGAAUCUUCCGCAAUGGGCGAAAGCCUGACGGAGCAACGCCGCGUGAGUGAUGAAGGUGUUCGGAUCGUAAAACUCUGUUAUUAGGGAAGAACAAAUGUGUAAGUAACUAUGCACGUCUUGACGGUACCUAAUCAGAAAGCCACGGCUAGCUACGUG